UUGCUUUGGCAGCACAUAUACUAAAAUUAGAAUGAUACAGAGAAGAUUAGCAUGGCCCCUACACAAGGAUGACAUGCAAAUUUGUGAAGUAUUCCGUUUUUUU
RNAcentral lists this small nuclear RNA (103 nucleotides) under Callithrix jacchus (white-tufted-ear marmoset). Lineage: Eukaryota; Metazoa; Chordata; Mammalia; Primates; Cebidae. The record is from RNAcentral.